RNAcentral lists this long non-coding RNA (907 nucleotides) under Phascolarctos cinereus (koala). RNAcentral describes it as "lncRNA (ENSPCIG00000037082.1)". Lineage: Eukaryota; Metazoa; Chordata; Mammalia; Diprotodontia; Phascolarctidae. The record is from RNAcentral.
GCUAUGGCUGACUGAACAGAAUUAGAAACUUGACAGGCAAACUGCGUCAACAUCUACUAAAUGACAUCAGCAAGCCUGUGAACUCAUGGCUGCUGCUUUCUGUUCUAUGAGAAAUGGUUCAAUCAGGUGGAUGUGAAGUUGGAGCCAAACAAAAGCAGACGGUUACCUCAGGGAUUCAUACCAGAUGGGAGAGGAGGUUAUGUUAACCAAGAAAAUGUCAUCUUCAGCUCCCUGCCAAGACUACAGCAUCUGUAAAGGCAGAAACCUACUUCAGUCUACAUUCACACUGCUGUCCUUGGCUUCAGAUGCUACUCUGGGGUUUCAGAAAGUGCUUGGGAUGCUCACUAUCUUCUCUUACUUAUUGUUGGAAACCGUAACAUUAGUACAAGUAAAAAGCAUUGAGGUGGUUGAGAUGGGAGCAAUGAUCAACUGGGCAUUGUCUGCUCUAGCUGUCUGCUUCUAGCUGUUGAACUCUGCCUACUAGACCAUUCUGCUGAAGACUUUCUACCAACCCUGCUUCAGAGGGUCUGUCUCUUAUCAAGAACUCUCAUUUACAAACCAACCAGCCUGUUGAGAUCCUAGCUAACUAGAUAGCAAAUUCACCAAAUUCCAUCCAGAAACACUUGAGCAUGAAUCCUUAUGGUUGAGUGGGAGACAAAGUAGAGCUCAGAGACUUGAAUUUUAAAUUCUUGGCUCUUCUAGAGACCUGGAUCCCUGGGCAAGUUUUUGCCUCAUUUGCCUUAUGUAUAUAAAUGAGAUUUUAUCUAUAAACUUAGAAUAUCUGCCUAAUGUAUUACUUUUGAGUACUUUGAGUAAAUUGGAAGUCACUAGCAAUGCAUGCUAAUAAGGGUUGCAAAAAAUGAAGAUUAGAUUAAAUAAAUGAAGAUUGGAUUAAAUAAAAGUGGCA